GUAUUGUGAAUUCACUCUCUGAGGUGGUGGGCUCUCCAGAACUGGAUCAUUGCCCUUUAUGUACCUCAAAGGGUCGGCACUCUCACUCGAUAUCAAACCAUUCCCAGCGACAGGGACCAUCUUUUAUUGGUGUAUAUGUUAUUGGUGUGUCUAGGACAACACCUGGUGGUUUUGUAUGUGCUGAGUGUGCUGCAUGGAAUACAACUAGUGCAUUCCCGUGGGUGCAAGUUGCUCUCUCCGAGUGAACUCAGAUUAAGCUAGUGAGGAUUUGUUAUGUUGGUGUUCAUUAUAAGUAAGAUGAGACAAGAGUAGCUGAAAGGGUUAGGUUUAGAUUAGAAUUCCGGCCAGGUUAGAUUUUAGAAAAGAUUUGAGAAGUUAGGUUAAGGAUAGAAAAAGGUUAGGUAUAAGAGGAAGGAUCCAAGGGGUCAGCAGAGAAGAGGGAAAGGUCAAAGGUUAGGGUUGGGAUAAGAAGAGUGGUUAAGUUUAGAUAAAAGAAGUAAGAA
This is a long non-coding RNA of Poecilia latipinna (sailfin molly), 503 nucleotides long. RefSeq lists it as uncharacterized. The record is from RefSeq and is a predicted model, not a curated record. The transcript has 2 exons. NCBI's taxonomy places the organism in Eukaryota, Metazoa, Chordata, Actinopteri, Cyprinodontiformes, Poeciliidae.